This 301-nucleotide ribosomal RNA is filed under the name uncultured bacterium. RNAcentral's name for it is "partial 16S ribosomal RNA". It matches the Rfam family "Bacterial small subunit ribosomal RNA", at positions 509 to 807 of the family's 1533-position model. The record is from RNAcentral.
CAUCAGCCACGGGAAUACGAAGGGUGCAAGCGUUACUCGGAAUUACUGGGCGUAAAGCGUGCGUAGGUGGUGGUUUAAGUCCGUUGUGAAAGCCCUGGGCUCAACCUGGGAAUUGCAGUGGAUACUGGGUCACUAGAGUGUGGUAGAGGAUAGUGGAAUUUCCGGUGUAGCAGUGAAAUGCGUAGAGAUCGGAAGGAACAUCUGUGGCGAAGGCGACUAUCUGGGCCAACACUGACACUGAGGCACGAAAGCGUGGGGAGCAAACAGGAUUAGAUACCCCCGUAGUCCCUGUCUCUUAUAC